GGGCUCGCCGGGGCGAGUGUGCGCCCGGCUCUGACUGGUGUGUUUGGAGGAACACGUGGGGAUGGCAGCGCGUGGACCCUGAGCACCCAAGGAUGUGAGUGUGCGAGUAAGUGUGCCUCGAGAAAGUUCACGUGUGAGCGAGACCCUGAGCACACGCAUGGUGAGUGUUCGUGGCGAGUGCCAGAGGAGAGGCCGCUAAGAGGCAGGAGGGAAGGGAUGCUGCACGUGGCCUCGUGGGAAGCAUGCGGCUAGUGUGUGCAGUGUGCUAGCCGCGUGCACGAGACAAUUUACUUCGAGGGCCUACAAGUACCUAGCCUUGGAGGAUGUUGUCUGGGGGUGCGGAACAGAGGGGUUCGAAGCCACUCCAAGUAUGUGUAGCACUUUGCAGGCCGCGCUCCACAAGGUGUCUUCCUGAAGCUGCUGGAUGGGAACGCGUAGCUGAGGUUUGUGCCGGGGACUCAGGCCUUUGGAACCCGCACGGGUCUGUGGGACAGUGUGGACCCAGAACGACUAGGUGUGCAGAGAGAUGCGCGAAGGGACAGCGGCCUUGAGACCUUGCGGUUCUUUGGAGUCUCUUUUGUUCUUUGGAAAGGACAAGAGCCUCCUUUCCCUCCUGUCUGCUGGUCCCUCCACCUGAAGAAGUCUGCCUAUGGCCAAAUAUCACCCAUUAGACGGAUCAUGGACUGUGGGGCUUGUGUAU
RNAcentral lists this long non-coding RNA (700 nucleotides) under Mus pahari (shrew mouse). RNAcentral describes it as "lncRNA (MGP_PahariEiJ_G0005063.1)". Lineage: Eukaryota; Metazoa; Chordata; Mammalia; Rodentia; Muridae. The record is from RNAcentral.